RNAcentral lists this ribosomal RNA (449 nucleotides) under uncultured bacterium. Its description in RNAcentral is "bacterial SSU rRNA". It matches the Rfam family "Bacterial small subunit ribosomal RNA", at positions 1021 to 1476 of the family's 1533-position model. The record is from RNAcentral.
UCGGGACUCCUGUGAAGGUGCUGCAUGGUUGUCGUCAGCUCGUGCCGUGAGGUGUCGGCUUAAGUGCCAUAACGAGCGCAACCCCUUUCUUCAGUUGCCAUCGGGUAAUGCCGGGCACUCUGUAGAUACUGCCGCCGUAAGGUGUGAGGAAGGUGGGGAUGACGUCAAAUCAGCACGGCCCUUACGUCCGGGGCUACACACGUGUUACAAUGGCCGGUACAGAGGGUCGGUCGUAUGCAAAUGCGAUCUAAUCUUUAAAUCCGGUCCCAGUUCGGACUGGGGUCUGCAACCCGACCCCACGAAGCUGGAUUCGCUAGUAAUCGCGCAUCAGCCAUGGCGCGGUGAAUACGUUCCCGGGCCUUGUACACACCGCCCGUCAAGCCAUGAAAGCCGGGGGUGCCUGAAGUCCGUGACCGGAAGGAUCGGCCUAGGCAAAACCCCUGUGGGUC